Molecule: ribosomal RNA, 497 nt
Filed under: uncultured bacterium
Lineage: Bacteria
Description: partial 16S ribosomal RNA
Rfam family: Bacterial small subunit ribosomal RNA
Source: RNAcentral
GAUGAACGCUGGCGGCGUGCCUAAUACAUGCAAGUCGAGCGAACGGACGAGAAGCUUGCUUCUCUGAUGUUAGCGGCGGACGGGUGAGUAACACGUGGAUAACCUACCUAUAAGACUGGGAUAACUUCGGGAAACCGGAGCUAAUACCGGAUAAUAUUUUGAACCGCAUGGUUCAAAAGUGAAAGACGGUCUUGCUGUCACUUAUAGAUGGAUCCGCGCUGCAUUAGCUAGUUGGUAAGGUAACGGCUUACCAAGGCAACGAUGCACAGCCGACCUGAGAGGGGGGAGGGCCACAGGGAAAGUGAGAAAGGGUCAAGACUCAGAGGGAAGGCAGAAGUAGGAAAGCUUCCGAAAGGGGGAAAGGCCGGAAGGAGAAACGCCGGGGGAGUAAGGAAGGUCUAGGAAUCGAAAAACUUUGUUAUGAGGGAAAAAAAUAGGGGAAAGAAACUGUGCAAAUCUGAAGGGAACAUAACAAAAAAGCCACGAAAAAAACCGGC